GGGGAGGCGGUGGUUGGGGUGGAUCAGUUGUUUGAUUUUACUUAGCCGUUCAGUCAGUGGGUUUUGUUUUUGUUGUUAAACAUAUGCUUUUCUGAGGUUUGUGUUACUAACCAUCGCCCUUCCCACCUCACAGAAUGUCAUGUUAAAGCCCAGGCAAAUUCUACUCUUUCUGUUCAUCUGUGUAGGGAACUCUCAACUUUGGUGGGAUCAGGGUGGGCAACGGACCGACAGAGGAGGAUGCUGAGAUUAUUCAGCAUGACCAGCUCUCCACCCACUCAGAGGACGCAGACGAGUUCGACUUUGGGGACACCAUGGUCCACCAGGCCAUCCACACCAUCGAGUACUGCCUGGGCUGCAUCUCCAACACUGCCUCCUACUUGCGGCUCUGGGCCCUCAGCCUUGCUCAUGCGCAGCUGUCUGAGGUGCUUUGGACCAUGGUGAUCCACAUCGGCCUGAGCGUGAAGAGCUUGGCGGGAGGUUUGGUGCUGUUCUUCUUCUUCACUGCCUUUGCCACCCUGACCGUGGCCAUCCUCCUGAUCAUGGAGGGCCUCUCGGCCUUUCUCCACGCACUGCGCUUACACUGGGUUGAGUUCCAGAAUAAAUUCUACAGCGGGACCGGUUUCAAGUUCUUACCCUUCUCCUUCGAGCAUAUUCGGGAAGGGAAGUUUGAAGAGUGAGUCCCUGUGAGGGCCGUGUGCCCCAUGCUACCCUCCCCGCCUCCCUCCACAGUGAUCAGCUGUGCCUCUCUGCCUGUUGGUUGUGAUCUUGGGCACCAGCUCAUUCGUGUCACCCUGUCUGUGAGUCAUUUAGAUAGAAUAGUCCUCCUUGGGUCUCCCACCACCCCUAGCUUUGUGUGUAGUGUAGUGAUUUUCUGGCUGUCACUCAAACUCACUGGGCACCAGCCUUGCCCUCUUAGCCUCCAUCCAUCCAGACAGCCCUUCCCACCUCCUGGUGGUGAGCCAGUCUGCAUUCCCACGCCAUCCCAAAGCCCUUUCAUCUUCCCUGUGCAUUGUAGAUGGAAGGAGCACCCAUGCCAUUCACAUCUAGACUUUGAGUUCCCUGCAUCUGCCACCGUAGUUUCUAGCAGGAGUAGUGGGGGGAGUAAUACGGAUUCUUCCCUAGAAGGGGACACUGGUAACAUGUCCCACUCUUGGAUUAGCAGGGGUGGGUCCAGGAAGAUGAUAUUUGCGUCUUUUGCCCACCCCCCUCUCGUGCUUGUUAAUCAGGCAUUCAGCUGGACCCAACUAGGCCAUCAUGAGUGGCUUCUCCCUGUCAUCCCCAGGGGUCAUAGGAUAUCUACACCUCCUUUCUGACCCCACCCUGCACUCCCAUCCUUUCCUCUCUCCCCGUUCAUGCCCUGUACUACAUAGCACAGCCGGGAUGCUUGGAACAGAGGCCUUGGCUGCUCCGCAGUGCACAGGGCUUCCCUCUCUCGGGGUUGGCUUCUUCCCAGGCCUUGCAUGGGCCCUGCCCACAAGCACACCCUCAGGCCGAGGGUGCAGACUGAUGCUCUUCCCUGGUGGAGACCCUGAGAUCUUCCCCACCCCCAAUCAUGAUGUCUUCAAUGUGGGACUGGGGUCCUCUUGGUUCUGCCUGCAGCCUGCCUGGCUCCGCCCCUAGUGCCCCCUCCUCACCACACUGGCCCCAGGUCUCAGGAGGGGUGUCCUGGGCAGGGAAGGUCAGUGUCACUGAUGGUUUGCUGUUUGGAAGCCAUUGGCAGGGCUGCCGUGCAUGUGGCUGUGAGGGCUGCACAGUCCUGCCAAGGGGCUUCCUCCUUGUCACCCCGAACCUUGUAAUCGUGUGCUGGCGUGGCAGCCCUGGCUAAGUUAAUCCCCACCGCUUUCAGUGGUAGAAAGAAUUCCCUGAGUGGGCCAGGCUGGUGCCCUCCUCCUACCCUGGCUUUUCUGAGUGAGCUGCCUGGAGCCCUCAUCCCCUCUCCCAGGCUGGGCUGGCCCUGGGCGGGGCCACUGUGUGCUGGCCCACUGUGACCUGACCCGACCUUGUGCAGCCCCCCUGCCCUGGUGUCCUGGGUUUUCGUGAUGAUCUUUGCUCUGUUUCCAGUGGGGUUUGAAGCAGAGUUCAGGGAACCCUGCCCAAGGUCCUCCUGUUCAGACAUUCCUAUGUUGAAUAAAGUAUGUUUGACUCCCCCAGAGAA
Molecule: small RNA, 2155 nt
Filed under: Pan troglodytes (chimpanzee)
Lineage: Eukaryota; Metazoa; Chordata; Mammalia; Primates; Hominidae
Description: retained intron
Source: RNAcentral